This 431-nucleotide ribosomal RNA is filed under the name uncultured bacterium. RNAcentral's name for it is "partial 16S ribosomal RNA". It matches the Rfam family "Bacterial small subunit ribosomal RNA", at positions 30 to 507 of the family's 1533-position model. The record is from RNAcentral.
CGAACGCUGGCGGCAGGCUUAACACAUGCAAGUCGAGCGGGCACUUCGGUGUCAGCGGCAGACGGGUGAGUAACACGUGGGAACGUACCCUUUGGUUCGGAAUAACGCUGGGAAACUAGCGCUAAUACCGGAUACGCCCUUUUGGGGAAAGGCUUGCUGCCGAAGGAUCGGCCCGCGUCUGAUUAGCUAGUUGGUGGGGUAAUGGCCUACCAAGGCGACGAUCAGUAGCUGGUCUGAGAGGAUGAUCAGCCACACUGGGACUGAGACACGGCCCAGACUCCUACGGGAGGCAGCAGUGGGGAAUAUUGGACAAUGGGCGCAAGCCUGAUCCAGCCAUGCCGCGUGAGUGAUGAAGGUCUUAGGGUUGUAAAGCUCUUUUGUCCGGGACGAUAAUGACGGUACCGGAAGAAUAAGCCCCGGCUAACUUCGUG